RNAcentral lists this long non-coding RNA (260 nucleotides) under Lathyrus oleraceus (garden pea). Its description in RNAcentral is "Pisum sativum (pea) long non-coding RNA (PSAT_LNC026937)". The record is from RNAcentral. Lineage: Eukaryota; Viridiplantae; Streptophyta; Magnoliopsida; Fabales; Fabaceae.
GAAAAUCACAAUCACUCUCUCUCAAUCACUCUGAAGUUUUUCUUUGCAAUUCAUCAAGUUCUUUACUCUACUCUCUCCAAUCCACACUCAUCAACAAUAACAACAAUAAAGAGUAUCAUAGAAUCCCCAUCCUACAGGCUAAAUGUUCAAGAAGAAGAAGAAGAUUACGUUGUCAAAGAAGAUUUGAGUUCAAAUUGCUUACCUCAUUGAAGAUCCUCUGGUUUUCUUGCUCCAUUUUCAUCAGCUUCGCAUUCAACGCG